Callorhinus ursinus (northern fur seal) is the source of this 480-nucleotide long non-coding RNA. RefSeq lists it as uncharacterized. Lineage: Eukaryota; Metazoa; Chordata; Mammalia; Carnivora; Otariidae. The record is from RefSeq and is a predicted model, not a curated record.
GCGCCAGGCCCUCCACCCGAAGGGACGGGGCGCUGGAGGGGUCCCACAAGGAGAAGAAAGGCGGGCAGCGGCAUCCCACUGCCAGAAGGCUAGAGCAGCGCUCUCGCUGGCCUGGCUCACCUUCCCCUCAGCUCCGAACAAGAAGACAUUUCGCUAAUACAAAUCCUGGGAAAUAAGAAGAUGAAAGCAUCAUAUCAAAAAGUUGUGAGAAAGUGACCAUAUGACUUUAACCCUAUGUGGAUUAAGCUACUUCCUCACCACUCUUGGACCACAGGAGACAUACAAUUACACUGGACCUUCAAGGCUAUGCCAAACCCACCUGCCAGCAUCGCCAUCCUUUCCAUACAGUGGCUGCCAGGAACUCCACAGAGAAGUUGAGCAACUCGCCCCUCUAACUCUGAGGUAUCCUAAGUCGAUCUGGAUUUUCUAUUUCCCACCAAUUCCCAGCAGGAUAUUAGUGCAGAAGAGACCACAGUAUAU